AUUGAACGCUGGCGGCAGGCCUAACACAUGCAAGUCGAAUGGUAACAGGAAACAGCUUGCUGUUUCGCUGACGAGUGGCGGACGGGUGAGUAAUGUCUGGGAAACUGCCUGAUGGAGGGGGAUAACUACUGGAAACGGUAGCUAAUACCGCAUAACGUCGCAAGACCAAAGAGGGGGACCUUCGGGCCUCUUGCCAUCAGAUGUGCCCAGAUGGGAUUAGCUAGUAGGUGGGGUAACGGCUCACCUAGGCGACGAUCCCUAGCUGGUCUGAGAGGAUGACCAGCCACACUGGAACUGACACACGGUCCAGACUCCUACGGGAGGCAGCAGUGGGGAAUAUUGCACAAUGGGCGCAAGCCUGAUGCAGCCAUGCCGCGUGUAUGAAGAAGGCCUGCGGGUUGUAAAGUACUUUCAGCGGGGAGGAAGGGAGUAAAGUUAAUACCUUUGCUCAUUGACGUUACCCGCAGAAGAAGCACCGGCUAACUCCGU
RNAcentral lists this ribosomal RNA (489 nucleotides) under uncultured bacterium. Its description in RNAcentral is "partial 16S ribosomal RNA". It matches the Rfam family "Bacterial small subunit ribosomal RNA", at positions 30 to 506 of the family's 1533-position model. The record is from RNAcentral.